UACGAAGGGUGCAAGCGUUACUCGGAAUUACUGGGCGUAAAGCGUGCGUAGGUGGUUCGUUAAGUCUGAUGUGAAAGCCCUGGGCUCAACCUGGGAAUGGCAUUGGAUACUGGCGACCUAGAGUGCGGUAGAGGGGUGUGGAAUUCCCGGUGUAGCAGUGAAAUGCGUAGAUAUCGGGAGGAACAUCUGUGGCGAAGGCGACACCCUGGACCAGCACUGACACUGAGGCACGAAAGCGUGGGGAGCAAACAGGAUUAGAAACCCCCGUAGUCC
RNAcentral lists this ribosomal RNA (273 nucleotides) under uncultured bacterium. RNAcentral's name for it is "partial 16S ribosomal RNA". It matches the Rfam family "Bacterial small subunit ribosomal RNA", at positions 524 to 796 of the family's 1533-position model. The record is from RNAcentral.